This 422-nucleotide ribosomal RNA is filed under the name uncultured archaeon. RNAcentral describes it as "partial 16S ribosomal RNA". It matches the Rfam family "Archaeal small subunit ribosomal RNA", at positions 323 to 746 of the family's 1478-position model. The record is from RNAcentral.
CUACGGGUGGCUCCAGGCGAGAAAACUUUGCAAUGUGCGAAAGCACGACAAGGUUAAUCCGAGUGGUUUCUGCUAAAGGAACCUUUUGACAGUCCUAGAAACACUGUUGAAUAAGGGGUGGGCAAGUUCUGGUGUCAGCCGCCGCGGUAAAACCAGCACCUCAAGUGGUCAGGAUGAUUAUUGGGCCUAAAGCAUCCGUAGCCGGCUCUGUAAGUUUUCGGUUAAAUCUGUACGCUCAACGUACAGGCUGCCGGGAAUACUGCAGAGCUAGGGAGUGGGAGAGGUAGACGGUACUCGGUAGGAAGGGGUAAAAUCCUUUGAUCUAUUGAUGACCACCUGUGGCGAAGGCGGUCUACCAGAACACGUCCGACGGUGAGGGAUGAAAGCUGGGGGAGCAAACCGGAUUAGAUACCCUUGUAGUC